This is a long non-coding RNA of Capsicum annuum, 855 nucleotides long. RefSeq lists it as uncharacterized. The record is from RefSeq and is a predicted model, not a curated record. The transcript has 3 exons. Lineage: Eukaryota; Viridiplantae; Streptophyta; Magnoliopsida; Solanales; Solanaceae.
ACCUUAAGUCAUGGGCAAAAUCAUUAAAGGGUUCAAAUUUUUUACUUUAAAAAAAUUUUGACCCAAUCUAGCUGCAAAAAUUUAAAAGGGGCACACGAUCAUAAUGGAUUCGUUUUUCCAUUUUGAAUGUGCGUAUCUCCCUCCUUCUUCAAUAACCGUAUUUCCUACUUCAAAUACACUUCUCCCUCAUGUAAAUCACCCUAUCUAAAAUCAAAACUUCUCCUAGAUCUUUCAUUCUCUCAGGAAUUUGAUAAGUUGAAAGCAAAGUAACGAAGCAUCACUUGUUGAUUUUAAGUUUGGACGCUCGGAUUCUUGACCAUACUUAGAUAUUCUAGUUCAUCAGAAGUAGCAACGGUGGUUCGGAUGCUCGAAUUCAUGACUUUACUUAGAAAUUAAAGUGCAUCAGUAGAAGAAGCCUUGGUGAGUCAUCUUCCUUCGAGUACGAGAUUCAGUUAUGUAAGUAGUUCGAUUAUUUAGUCAAUUGGAGUUAGUUAGGGCAUGUCCCAUAUAACACCCCAAUUUUCUAAAUCGGAAUGCUACACGGUGCUUAUGACACCGAAGGACUAUAAGCUAACCCAUGACUUAUAGCUGUACCUGUACACUAUAAUAUAUGAUGUAAUAAUGUAAAAAACAUGAACAAUAGGCCAUAAGGUUCAACUGAAUAAAAUAUCUGACAAACGUAAUAUACAUAUGGGUCGCAAAUACCUAAAAAAACAACUGAAUUCUAAAUCAAAUCUAAAUUAAAUCUAAAAGCCUCUAAAUAUUGUCUGAGUAAGGAGUUGAAGGAAAAUGUCUCCAACUAACUCCGUCUAGCAAAAUUAAACUGAAAUAAUAAAUGAAAUAAAAUAAUAUCAU